This 4287-nucleotide long non-coding RNA is filed under the name Marmota monax (woodchuck). Lineage: Eukaryota; Metazoa; Chordata; Mammalia; Rodentia; Sciuridae. The record is from RNAcentral.
CCUCCCCACCUCCCCACUCAUUGUUUAGCCUGUCCGCCGCGCGCCCUGUGACCUCCUGGGACGAGGACGAAGGACUGGCCUCCCCGCCUCAGAGCCUCCACCAGCCUCCGUGGAGAGAAGCGAGCGGCUUGGCGUUAAAUCCUUAGCUCCCUUCGGACUUGAAUACUUGGUUUUCUUUCUCUCUUUCUCCGACUCCUGAGUUGGAAUCCUCCUCUGGCCCAGCUUCUCAGGCGGCACCACUGUGCAGCUGGGACAACAGGCGCGGACCCGCUAGAUAGGGGGUGCGCUUCUGGUUUGGGAGGUCCCAGGCCUCAGGAGCUACUCCCCAGCCCUGUUCACGUCUUCUUCUUUCAAUAUUUAUCUUUUAGUUGUAGGUGGACACAUGGCUUUAUUCUACUUUAUGUGCUGCUGAGGGCCUCACCUGGGCUAGGUGCUGCUCUACCUCUGAGCCCCAGCCCCAGGCCCCCUGUACACUUCUUUUUUAACAUUUAUUCCUCGUCGUUGGACACAGUAUCUUUAUUUUAUUUACUUAUUUUUAUGUGGUGUUGAGGAUCGAACCCAGGGCCCUGCACCUGCGAGGUGAGUGCUCUACCGCUGAGCCCCAGCCCCAGCCCAUGUACACGUCUUUACAUAAGUAUUUUAUACCUGGAAUUUUGAAAAUCAUUCUGCAAACUGGGCAUGGUGACGCACACCUGUAAUCCCAGCAAGUAGGGAGGCCGAGGCAGGAGGAUUCCGAGUUCAGGCCAGCCUCAGCAAUGUAUCAGGGCCCUCAAGGACUUUGCAAGACUGUCUCAAAUUAAGAAACAAUCACACCUGGGGGUGCAGCUCAGCGGUAGAGUGCCCUGGGUUCAAUCCCUACUGCAAAGAAAGAAAGAAAGAAAGAAAGGGAGGGAGGGAGGGAGGGAGGGAGGGAAAAUUUAGAAGCAUGAUUCCUGAUUUUAAAUUUUCUUUUUUCUCUUUCUUGCCGGGCUGGCCUGGAAGCUGCGAUCCUCCUGCCUCAGCUCCUGCCCACUUCCACCAAGUCACUGGGAUCGUAGGCAUGAGCCACUCACCCAGUUGCCUUUUAAAAAUUUCUGUAGUUGGCACAGAUGUUCACACAUAUUUGUGGGGCGUUGUACAAUAGUUCAGCACGUGUAUCAAUGUGUAGUGACCACAUCAGGGUUUGGGAAACUUCAGGCUCUUUUCUAGUUUUUUUUUUUUAAGCUGUUGAUGGACCUUCAUUUUGUUUGUUCAUUUAUACUCAGUGCUGAGAAUCAGACCCAGUGCCUGACAUGUGCCAGGCAAGCGCUCUACCAGAGCCCCGCCCCCGCCCUCGAGUUAUUCUGAAAUACCUCACAAUCUGUUGACUAGUUAAAGUGCUAGGAAACUCGAGAUCGAGAUCCUGCCACAGCUGCCUGGUACCUGUUUCCUCCCCUCUCUAUUUCCUCCCCCCAGGUCUCUGCUGACCCUGAUUCUCCUCUUCUAUGAGAUCAACAUUUUUAGCAUCCAUUUAAAAAUGGAUGAGAACGUGCAGUAUUUGCCUUUCUUGACUUUUCUUGUGUAAAUAUUAUUGGCAGCUAAGCUUUACAUUUCCUCUUUUUUUUUUUUCUUGUACGGGAGAUAGAACCUGGGGCUCUUUGCCACUGAGCUACAUCUCCAGCCCUCUUGUAUUUUUUAAGGCAAGGUCUUGCUACAUUGCUGAAGGCCUCACUAAAGUUGCUGAGGCUGUCCUCAAACUUGCCAUCCUCCUGCCUCAGCCUCCCCAGUUGCUGGGAUUACAGAUAAGGGCCAUGGUGCCCUAGUAUAGGUUUACUAUUAUAAGAACUGCAAAGUUGUUUUGUAAAGUAGUUAUUCUGUUUUAUUUUUCUACUGGCACUAGGUAAAUUUGUUUCUCUGCAGCGAUCAACACUUGGAAUUGUCUUUCAUUUCAACUCUCCUAGCGCCCAGUAUCCGAGUCACCUUGUGGUUUUAAGGUGUCCUUCCUUCCCUUAUGGCUGAAGACAUUGAGCAUCUUUUUUUUUUUUAAUGUGGUUAUUGGCUAUUCAAAUAUCUUCUUUUGUGAAGUAAGCCCUCCAAUAUUUUGCCCAUUUUCAAUUAAAUUUUUUUUAAUUUUUGUUGUUUUACUGAAGAGGCACAAACGUUCAGUGAGAGAAGAUGAAUAAAUGGGAGCAAAGUCCACUCAGCACCCUCCAGAGAGUCGUCAAAAUAUUUGCAGUAGGGGCUGGGGCUGGGGCUGGGGCUGGGGCUCAGCGGUAGAGCUCUCCCCUAGCAAGGGUGAGGCCCUGGAUUCGGUCCUCAGCACCACAUAAAGAUAAAUAAAUAAAACAGAGGUUUCGGGUCCAUCUGCAACUGAAAUUAUUUUAAAAAAAUAUUUGCAAUAAACACUCCCAGGAUUUUCUAGAGACUUCCACACAUGGCAAUGGGUGAACAAGUUAAUCCUUACUAGAAAGGGUGGAGGAUGGGAAAGGGGAAGAUGUUUACAAAGCAGCCAGAGAAGAGGCCUGUUCCCAGACCAUUCCAAAUCCGCACUCAGGUCUGGGUGCCACCCUUCAGCGAGGUCAGUGGAAAACGGCACAGAGAAAACCAGUAUCCCAGACAGAGAACUGAACAGGAAAUCGCAGCUCUUGAAUGUGUUUGGAGAGAAGACAGAUGAGGUGGGCAAGGACUGAGCUUUGGGGUUUUGUUUUUUUAAAAAAUACAUAUCUUUGCUGGUUGUGGUGGCAAAGAUAUAAAAUACAAAAAAAAAAAAAAGUGUGAGUGAGUAUAUGAAAUAUUGCCAGGCAUGGUGGCACAAGCCUGUAGUCCCAGCAACUUGAGAGCCUUAGGCAGGAGGAUCUCAAGUUCAAGGCCAGCCUCAGCAACUCAGCGAGACCCUGUCUUUAAAAAAAAAUAUGAAAAAUGGCUGGGGAUGUGGCUCAGUAGUUAAACGCCCCUGGGUUUAACCCCCAGGACCCCCAAAAAAGUUCUCUAUCUCUGUCUUUCUUGAUAUUCCCCCUAUAGUGUUCGCACAGAAGCUCCUUUAGAGAAACCAGAAAGGCCCCAUCGCUGCCCCUGAUUGAAGUUGAGACCUACGGGACACACAGCUGUUUUUAUUCCAUUUUAUCCGAUUCUCAUUUGGUAUCUGAGCUCCCACAUUCUCCUGAUCGUGCCUCACGCAUCACAGGUGGCCAGAUCAGUUUGACAUCAUCAAAUACUUUCCUACCGCUGGUGGGAGGGAGGAAUCAGAGACCAGUGUCCCUGUGUCCAGAGGGGCAGCGUUACUGUUCAAGAUCCAGGCAUGCGGCAGCCCCAUGCUGCAUGGACGCACAUGCUUAGUGCCCCUCCCCUGGGCAUGGUCCCUGUGGUUAGUGAUCCAGAAAAGGCCUCUGCUCACAGGUGUUGCCAAGCAACACCUGCCUCUGCCCCUCCCCCCCCUUCUUCUUCUUUGUACUGGGAGUUGGACCCAGGGGUGCUCUACCAUUAACCUACACCUACAGCCCUUUUUAUGCUUUAUUUUGAGAUACAAUCUUGCUAAGUUGCUGAAGCUAGCCUCGAACUUGGGAUCCUCCUGCCUCAGCCUCCCAAGUGGCUGGGAUCACAGGUGCACGCCUCCACACCCAACUCCUCCACUCUGCUUUUCCACCCACUGUGCCCCUGAGUCUGCGGAUGUGUCGGGACCAUAUCAACAGCUUAUAAAGCCCGGCUUUCCUAGGACUGGAUUCUGCAAACCAUUUUCUCAGACCAAGUCACCAGUUUCAAGUUCCAUUGCUCCGGGUCAGAGAUGAGACAGGAGCCCAUGGUGGAAGUGUGUGUUGGAGGGAAGAAGACCAGCUCAUGACAGCCAGAGAGCACGGCACUUUUGUCCACUUUUGAAUGGAGCCAUUUGUCGGAAUUGAAGAAGUUGUCUUGUAUUCUGGAGAAAGUCCUUUGUCAGAGGUGAGUGUUGCUAAUAUCGUCUGUGACUCGCCUGUUCAUCUUCUUAACAAUGACUCUGAAUUUUUUUUUUUUUCUUUUCGCAGUGCUGAGAAUGGAACCCAGGUCUCCUGGCGCAGGCUGGGUCAACACUCCACCCCUGAGCCACAUCUCCAGCAGCCAAGUCUUAAAUUUUGAUAAUUCCAUUUUGUUCUUAAAUUGUAUGUGCUUUGUGUCUUCUUCUUAAAAAAUCAAUCGCUUUUUUAAAAAAAAUCUCACAGGGAGGAACUGGGGCUAUGGCCCAGCGGUAGUGUACUUGCCUGGCAUGUGUGAGGCACUGGGUUCAAUUCUUAGCACCACCUAUAAAUAAAAUAAAGGUCUAUCAACAACUAAAAAAAUAUUAAAAAAAAAUCUCAC